AGUCGAGGGGCAGCAUGAACUGUAGCUGUGCUAAGUUUGAUGGCGACCGGCGCACGGGUGAGUAACACGUAUCCAACCUGCCGAUGACUCGGGGAUAGCCUUUCGAAAGAAAGAUUAAUACCCGAUGGCAUAGUUCUUCCGCAUGGUAGAACUAUUAAAGAAUUUCGGUCAUCGAUGGGGAUGCGUUCCAUUAGGUUGUUGGCGGGGUAACGGCCCACCAAGCCUUCGAUGGAUAGGGGUUCUGAGAGGAAGGUCCCCCACAUUGGAACUGAGACACGGUCCAAACUCCUACGGGAGGCAGCAGUGAGGAAUAUUGGUCAAUGGACGAGAGUCUGAACCAGCCAAGUAGCGUGAAGGAUGACUGCCCUAUGGGUUGUAAACUUCUUUUAUACGGGAAUAAAGUGAGGCACGUGUGCCUUUUUGUAUGUACCGUAUGAAUAAGGAUCGGCUAACUCCGUGCCAGCAGCCGCGGUAAUACGGAGGAUCCGAGCGUUAUCCGGAUUUAUUGGGUUUAAAGGGAGCGUAGGCGGACGCUUAAGUCAGUUGUGAAAGUUUGCGGCUCAACCGUAAAAUUGCAGUUGAUACUGGGUGUCUUGAGUACAGUAGAGGCAGGCGGAAUUCGUGGUGUAGCGGUGAAAUGCUUAGAUAUCACGAAGAACUCCGAUUGCGAAGGCAGCCUGCUGGACUGUAACUGACGCUGAUGCUCGAAAGUGUGGGUAUCAAACAGGAUUAGAUACCCUGGUAGUCCACACAGUAAACGAUGAAUACUCGCUGUUUGCGAUAUACAGUAAGCGGCCAAGCGAAAGCGUUAAGUAUUCCACCUGGGGAGUACGCCGGCAACGGUGAAACUCAAAGGAAUUGACGGGGGCUCG
This 872-nucleotide ribosomal RNA is filed under the name uncultured bacterium. RNAcentral describes it as "bacterial SSU rRNA". It matches the Rfam family "Bacterial small subunit ribosomal RNA", at positions 60 to 923 of the family's 1533-position model. The record is from RNAcentral.